CUCCCAUCCCAUCCUCCCAAGCCACCCACCGACCUCCCAUCCCAUCCCCCAACCACCCCCGAAGGAGCUUGAGGCAUUCCAUGAGGGAUCAUCAAAAUAUGCUAAGUCAUUUCGGGAAGGACCUGAGCCCUCCUCUAAGUAUCCAGGCUAAGAGAGUAUCUCUCCAUGGGGAAUGGGCUCCCAAAGUCCAUUUGUGCACUGUGGAUACAUACUGCUUCCACUGCCAGAGGCUCCAUAGACUGUCCAGGGGGCCUGGUUUGGUCUUAUGUUGGUUCCCCAGCUAUCAGACUGGUGUCCAUGAGUUCCCACUUGCUCAAGUCAGCUGUUUCUGUGGGUUUUCCCAGCAUGGUCUUUACCCCUUUGUUCAUCAUUCCUCCCUCUCUACAACUGGAUUCCAGGAGUUCAGCUCCUUGCCAAGCUGUGUGUGGAUCUCUGCUUCUGCUUCCAUUAGGUACUGGAUGAAGGCUCUAGGAUGGCAUUUAAGCCAGAACCUGGAAGCAACCUAGAUGCCCCUCAGCUGAAUAAUUGAUGGAGAAAAUGUGGUACAUUUAUACCAUGGAGUGCUUAACAGUGGGAAAAAAAUGGAAUUGUGAUACUCGUAGGCAAAUGGAUGGAACUAGAAGAAACCAACUUAGUGAGAUAGCAUUAGACGAUGACUCAAAAAUGGACCUCUUCAGGAUCAACCCUCAGAUAUCCAGCCAUCUGUGACUAAAUUAUAAUUUUUU
This 725-nucleotide long non-coding RNA is filed under the name Cricetulus griseus (Chinese hamster). RNAcentral describes it as "lncRNA (ENSCGRG00015038202.1)". Lineage: Eukaryota; Metazoa; Chordata; Mammalia; Rodentia; Cricetidae. The record is from RNAcentral.